AAUACUACACAAUAUAAUCAAGCACUAGCAGAAACCGCAUAUAAACAGUAGAGGGCAGCAAUGCGCCUUGGAUGCGUCUGAAACCACAGAAGAAGAAAUGAGGCUUGAUUCUAUAAGAUGCUUCUCUACAGGCUGCAGAUUUCAUAACAUGCAGCGACCUCCAGAUCCGACGUAACCUUGAACCAGAAACCCCACGAGCGAACGCUAAGAUGAUGGUGGCAAAGGAAGAAACCUUGAGCAGAAACCAGCUCGCGUGGUAGAGGGAGAGGGAAGUGGAAGAGGACGUGAUGAAGAAGAGCAGCAGAAGCAAAGAGGAGUAAAAGCUGGUGCUUGUGUGUGUCUGAGGAAUUCAGCGCAGCUCAGCAGCCGACGCUGAGGGGCUGAUAUUUCAGAGUAGAUGAAGAAAUUCUCCUUCACAUUCCUCUUCAACGUUUUUAAGAGAGCUGUUCUGGAGAAUGUCACACGAGCGCACACUCACACUUUACAGCUGGCUCAGCAUGCAACACAGGCUGCAGUAUGUAUUUAGAUGUUUUAGACAAAAAAAAAAAAAAAACGUGUACAGUCUGGAAAAGAACUUGAAAGAAAGGCCCUUUUUCUAUUCAUCGGACAAAUCUUUGUAAGAUUUCCUCUGGAGAUUUCCAUGAAUAAAUGGUCACGUGUGGGAUGAAAGAAACAUAAGAAAAACAUAUCAGUGGCUCAGACGUCAGGAUAAAGUGCUCAUGACGUAAGUGUGACGUGAGGUGAGUGUGACACAACGUGAAGAGUUCCUCAUUGUGUCUCCUUGUUGCAGGUCCACGCUUUGCACAUGUGUAUACAAACGCAGGCACAUGAUAUUUUAAAUGAAUAAAUAAAUGAAAACAAAGCUGAAACGAGAGCAGCUGGACUCGUUGGGUUUUCUUCAGCGUUUUCUCCUGCCACCAAGUGGCUUCUUCUCCGUCAGCUCUGUUUUCAAUCACUCAAUCGAUUUGGAAACGCUUUCAGGAAAACGCAUCAAGUUCUUCGGGUGACGAAGAACCUUCACAGACGCAGUGGAGCCAAAGUUACUGGACACACAACAGGAAUCUAAAUGGAUGCAUCACUGGGAGAGGGCAUCAUAUAUAUAAAUAUAUAUUUAUACAUCAAACUUUGAUUCUGAUUAACACGUGACAUACGUCUGUAUUAAGCUAAUUAAUAUAAGUCAGUCAAUAGAGGAUUUAUUGCUGUAUUGGAUCUCGUUAGCUGUAGCAAAGUGAACCUAUGAAUUUAUUAAACUGACUUCAGUUUUAGCUCUGCUGUAUUGUAGCUGAAUUAACCAGCCUACAAUGCAUUUUUGCGAUGUUCAGUGGUAGAAGCUGCGAUAAUCAACUCCUCAGGCUUUAAGCCUUUGACAGUUUCAUGCUGGACGUGCGAUGCCAGUAGCAUAUGGAACGACUUUAUCACGAGCCACAUUCAUGGCUCGUGAUCUUCAUCGUCGUUAUAAAGAGACACAUUAACGCUUCUGUUCUCUGUACAACCAGUGUAGCUGGAAUCUUGAGGUCUUUAUAUUAGUUUUCCUCCGUGCACGUCCAUCGUGGAAUCGUGUAGGUGAAGUUGCAGCUUCUGUAGCUGUAACUCAACCUCCUUAAGAGGCCACAUUCUUUCCAUUGUGUCAUUCUGCAUUAAAAAAAAAAUAAAGUGAAGCUUUUCAUUUAAAUAAAAGCAUAUUUUUUCAUUCGAAAUCUUGGAAUGAGCUAAAUAAAGUGGAGGGAUCUGCUGUAAACUCUGUUUUACGUAGACCCAUGUGACUGAUAUAUUAAGAAAUAUUAGAUAUUUAUUCUGCAUUGUCUGGUGUAGAAGUAUAAAAAUUAUUUUGGUGCGCUUUCAUGGUUUAUUGGAUUUGUUGAACUGAAAAAAAACAUUGAUUGGAAUGAUUAAAGUAAAUAGUUGGAGUCUGCAGGGACCAAAACUUCUUAUUACUCAUUUAAUUGAUUUCAUUUCAGGUUGUUAAUAUAAAUAAAGUUUUUAUUUAACCCUUUUUUAUGACACUCUCAUUAUUUCUUUUAUUUUUUUUGUUAGGUUCAGUGUGUGUGUGUAUCAUCCACAGAUUGAUUAACCUGGAAAGUGUGGCCUGAUGUCUGAUAAUCACAAUAUAAUUUAGGAUGUAAAAUAUCAAAAAUCCUGGGGAUUCAAGAUCAAGCAAAUAAAGAAGAACCCAACAGGUUACAACUCAUGUUUUUAUAAUUACAAAUGUAUGAAACAGUAAAGGUGGAUGAGCUCUGUUGUGGGCUUCAGCAGGCAGACAGACACAUUUAGAGCUGGAGGAGAACGAACCAGAGCUAAAACAGGGUAAAUAUUGGACUCACUUUUGCACAACUCCAAAUUAAUAAUAUUCUUUUACUCUGUGAUGUGGAAACAAACUGUUGACAUGUGACUUUUA
This is a long non-coding RNA of Mugil cephalus (flathead mullet), 2395 nucleotides long. RefSeq lists it as uncharacterized. The transcript has 3 exons. Lineage: Eukaryota; Metazoa; Chordata; Actinopteri; Mugiliformes; Mugilidae. The record is from RefSeq and is a predicted model, not a curated record.